GACGAACGCUGGCGGCGUGCCUAAUACAUGCAAGUAGAACGCUGAAGGAGGAGCUUGCUUCUCUGGAUGAGUUGCGAACGGGUGAGUAACGCGUAGGUAACCUGCCUGGUAGCGGGGGAUAACUAUUGGAAACGAUAGCUAAUACCGCAUAAGAGUAGAUGUUGCAUGACAUUUACUUAAAAGGUGCAAUUGCAUCACUACCAGAUGGACCUGCGUUGUAUUAGCUAGUUGGUGAGGUAACGGCUCACCAAGGCAACGAUACAUAGCCGACCUGAGAGGGUGAUCGGCCACACUGGGACUGAGACACGGCCCAGACUCCUACGGGAGGCAGCAGUAGGGAAUCUUCGGCAAUGGACGGAAGUCUGACCGAGCAACGCCGCGUGAGUGAAGAAGGUUUUCGGAUCGUAAAGCUCUGUUGUAAGAGAAGAACGAGUGUGAGAGUGGAAAGUUCACACUGUGACGGUAGCUGACCAGAAAGGGACGGCUAACUACGUG
This 495-nucleotide ribosomal RNA is filed under the name uncultured bacterium. RNAcentral's name for it is "partial 16S ribosomal RNA". It matches the Rfam family "Bacterial small subunit ribosomal RNA", at positions 28 to 507 of the family's 1533-position model. The record is from RNAcentral.